RNAcentral lists this ribosomal RNA (1591 nucleotides) under human gut metagenome. Its description in RNAcentral is "bacterial LSU rRNA". It matches the Rfam family "Bacterial large subunit ribosomal RNA", at positions 804 to 2421 of the family's 2925-position model. The record is from RNAcentral.
AUGAGGUGUGGAUAGGGGAGAAAUUCCAAUCGAACCCGGAGAUAGCUGGUUCUCCUCGAAAUAGCUUUAGGGCUAGCCUCAUGCAAGUCUUACGGAGGUAGAGCACUGAAUUCCUAAGGGGGCGUCAAAGCUUACCAAGGGAUAUCAAACUCCGAAUGCCGUGUAGAUGGUGCAUGGGAGUCAGACUAUCCGAGAUAAGUUGGGUAGUCAAAAGGGAAAGAGCCCAGACCUACAGCUAAGGUCCCAAAGUGUGUGUUAAGUGGAAAAGGAUGUGGGAUUUCAAAGACAACUAGGAUGUUGGCUCAGAAGCAGCCACACAUUCAAAGAGUGCGUAAUAGCUCACUAGUCGAGAGGUCCUGCGCCGAAAAUGUCCGGGGCUGAAACACACUACCGAAGCUUGGGAAUUGACGAAUGUUAAUUGGUAGAGGAGCAUUCUUAACGGGGCGAAGCUGUACCGGAAGGAGCAGUGGACUGUUAAGAAGAGAGAAUGCCGGAAUGAGUAGCGAGAGGAAGGUGAGAAUCCUUCCGGCCGAAUAUCUAAGGUUUCCAGAGUAAAGCUGAUCUGCUCUGGGUAAGUCGGGGCCUAAGGCGAGGUCGAAAGACGUAGUCGAUGGAUAACAGGUAAAGAUUCCUGUACUGUAUCAUAACAGAACUGUGGGGACGCAGACAGAGAGCAUAAGCCGGGAAUGGAAAGACCGGUACAAGCGAGGUAGGAGUGCAUCAGGCAAAUCCGGUGCACAAUCUGAAGACGUGAUGUGGGGCGUAAAGCCGGAAGUAUGUGAGCUGGCUGCCAAGAAAAGCCGCUAUUGUUUAUGAUAUACCCGUACCGUAAACCGACACAGGUGGAUGAGGAGAGAAUCCUAAGGCCGACGGGAGAAGCAUUGUUAAGGAACUCGGCAAAAUGACUCCGUAACUUCGGGAGAAGGAGUGCCAUGUAAAAGUGGCCGCAGAGAAUUGGCCCAAGCAACUGUUUAGCAAAAACACAGGUCUAUGCAAAACCGAAAGGUGAGGUAUAUGGGCUGACGCCUGCCCGGUGCUGGAAGGUUAAGGGGAGAGGUUAGCCGUAAGGCGAAGCUUUGAACUUAAGCCCCAGUAAACGGCGGCCGUAACUAUAACGGUCCUAAGGUAGCGAAAUUCCUUGUCGGGUAAGUUCCGACCCGCACGAAAGGCGUAAUGAUUUGAGCGCUGUCUCGACAAUGCACCCGGUGAAAUUGAAAUACCAGUGAAGAUGCUGGUUACCUGCGCCAGGACGGAAAGACCCCAUGGAGCUUUACUCCAGCUUGAUACUGGGAUUCGAUAUUGCAUGUACAGGAUAGGUGGGAGACUGAGAACUGAUGACGCCAGUUGUCAGGGAGUCACUGUUGGGAUACCACCCUUGUAGUAUUGGAUUUCUAACCAGCAGCCGUGAACCGGCUGGGGGACAAUGUCAGGUGGGGAGUUUGACUGGGGCGGUCGCCUCCGAAAGGGUAUCGGAGGCGCUCAAAGGUUCCCUCAGAAUGGUUGGAAACCAUUCGAAGAGUGCAAAGGCAGAAGGGAGCUUGACUGCGACACCGACGGGUGGAGCAGGUACGAAAGUAGGACUUAGUGAUCC